GCCCACUUGGUCUAGUAGAAUGAUACCUCAUUUGGGCUAUUAUAAGCAUAGUUUGAGGUGGUCGUCGGUUCAAUUCCGGCAGUGGGCC
Non-coding RNA from Rhodotorula sp. JG-1b, 88 nucleotides. Lineage: Eukaryota; Fungi; Basidiomycota; Microbotryomycetes; Sporidiobolales; Sporidiobolaceae. The record is from the annotation of a GenBank genome assembly.